Molecule: ribosomal RNA, 429 nt
Filed under: Chloroflexota bacterium
Lineage: Bacteria; Bacillati; Chloroflexota
Description: Chloroflexi bacterium partial 16S ribosomal RNA
Rfam family: Bacterial small subunit ribosomal RNA
Source: RNAcentral
UGGGGAAUUUUGCACAAUGGGCGCAAGCCUGAUGCAGCCAUGCCGCGUGUAUGAAGAAGGCCUUCGGGUUGUAAAGUACUUUUAGCGGGGAGGAAGGGAGUAAAGUUAAUACAUUGGCUCAUUGACGUUACCCGCAGAAGAAGCACCGGCUAACUCCGUGCCAGCAGCCGCGGUAAUACGGAGGGUGCAAGCGUUAAUCGGAAUUACUGGGCGUAAAGCGCACGCAGGCGGUUUGUUAAGUCAGAUGUGAAAUCCUCGGGCUCAACCUGGGAACUGCAGCUGAUACUGGCAAGCUGGAGUAUCGUAGAGGGGGGUAGAAUUCCAGGUGUAGCGGUGAAAUGCGUAGAGAUCUGGAGGAAUACCGGUGGCGAAGGCGGCCCCCUGGGCGAAGACUGACGCUCAGGUGCGAAAGCGUGGGGAGCAAACAGG